GGGGUCUUACAGAGUGCUGCUUCCUGCAUUUUCUGUACAAUGCUAUCAACAUUUCCUUGAUAAUCUGUCAAAGCAUUUCAUCACCACGUUCCCAACCUGUGCUGGCAAUCCACCCUGACCGUGCUGCUCGCGCCGCCUCUCCUACGACGUGGAGCUGGUUGUGCUGGGGAGCUUGGGCAGGCCCCUGCUGAGCGUGCCAAAGGUAGCAAUAAAGCUGGGUAACUUGCUGCAACAAGCAGAGAGAGGAUAUAGUAGAAAAGAAGAGUGCUGGGGAGGUUCAGCUGUGCCCAUCAGUAGCAUUUUGUAUUUCCUGAGCACGAGACUGGUACCAGAUCUACGGCCUGCCCAAAGACCAGGUAGGAGAUAAGGAGUGAGUGCAAAGGCUACAAAGCAGCAUCAGAUGCUGUAAGCCAGUGGAAUAGUCAGGUGUGGGUAUAUUGAAUGGAGA
RNAcentral lists this long non-coding RNA (448 nucleotides) under Cairina moschata (Muscovy duck). RNAcentral's name for it is "domestica (muscovy Duck (domestic type)) lncRNA (ENSCMMG00000015459.1)". Lineage: Eukaryota; Metazoa; Chordata; Aves; Anseriformes; Anatidae. The record is from RNAcentral.